This 294-nucleotide long non-coding RNA is filed under the name Brassica rapa (field mustard). RNAcentral's name for it is "long non-coding RNA (BRAP_LNC001745)". The record is from RNAcentral. Lineage: Eukaryota; Viridiplantae; Streptophyta; Magnoliopsida; Brassicales; Brassicaceae.
GAAUUUAUAAAUUUCUAAAACUACUUUUUUAUAUAAAUGAUUUACGAGAGUUAGAUUAAUUUUUUUGAUCACAAAUUAAUAAAAAUGAUUAUUUUUACAAAUAAAUUUGAAAAUAAAAUCAAAUUUGUGGUAAAAUUAAAAUAUUUCCAAAAAUAUUCUCAGCUAUAUUGUUUAUACUGCUCCAUAAAAUAACUAUUAUACUGACUAGUCUACAGAAUUCAUUUGACAUUAUAACCCAUGUCCUUAGAUCAUUUUCAUCAUCACCAUCAAUAUGUUACUCUCCACUUACAGUUG